RNAcentral lists this ribosomal RNA (472 nucleotides) under Streptococcus lutetiensis. RNAcentral's name for it is "bacterial SSU rRNA". It matches the Rfam family "Bacterial small subunit ribosomal RNA", at positions 60 to 516 of the family's 1533-position model. Lineage: Bacteria; Bacillati; Bacillota; Bacilli; Lactobacillales; Streptococcaceae. The record is from RNAcentral.
AGUAGACGCUGAGACUUUAGCUUGCUAAAGUUGGAAGAGUUGCGAACGGGUGAGUAACGCGUAGGUAACCUGCCUACUAGCGGGGGAUAACUAUUGGAAACGAUAGCUAAUACCGCAUAACAGCAUUUAACACAUGUUAGAUGCUUGAAAGGAGCAAUUGCUUCACUAGUAGAUGGACCUGCGUUGUAUUAGCUAGUUGGUGAGGUAACGGCUCACCAAGGCGACGAUACAUAGCCGACCUGAGAGGGUGAUCGGCCACACUGGGACUGAGACACGGCCCAGACUCCUACGGGAGGCAGCAGUAGGGAAUCUUCGGCAAUGGGGGCAACCCUGACCGAGCAACGCCGCGUGAGUGAAGAAGGUUUUCGGAUCGUAAAGCUCUGUUGUAAGAGAAGAACGUGUGUGAGAGUGGAAAGUUCACACAGUGACGGUAACUUACCAGAAAGGGACGGCUAACUACGUGCCAGCAGCC